Molecule: long non-coding RNA, 1180 nt
Filed under: Homo sapiens (human)
Lineage: Eukaryota; Metazoa; Chordata; Mammalia; Primates; Hominidae
Description: non-protein coding lnc-UCP3-1:1
Source: RNAcentral
AAAGUUUGCAAAUUUUCAUAUGAGCAUCUGGACAACUUUUUUAAAGACCUACAAAACGUUCAAAACACUGGUGAAAAAGAAGUACAGAAUAGAGAGAAAUUUUGAUCAGGCACUUACUCUGAAAAGCACAACACUGUGUCUGUGUCUCAGUGAUGUGGUCACACAACCAAAACAACCCAACUGUGGUUUUCUUCUCAGUAUCUUACACUGUGAAAGCCUUCUUGAUUUGGAACCUGUGACUUGCAGCAGAGUUCUAAACAAGAAUUGUAUAUUGCUUGUUUCAUGGCUCCUCUCACCAAUGAAUCCAAAUCCAUCAGAGUAGAGCUCCUCAGCAUAUUAGACCAGUUAUCCAGAAGUCAUCCCCAGAAGUCAUAUCCCCGUUUCUUUUACUUUCCAAAGGUACAAGAUCUCAAAAACUGUCAAGAUAUAUUUCACCAUUGUUAUUCUUGCUAUAUUAUUAUUAUGUCUUGGAGUUAUGAUCCUUGAAGUAAUUCAUGCUUCACAUGUGCUUACAAUGUUGAAUGAUGGGAUGAGAGAAAUCUUUUCCAUUUGAUAAAAUAAAACCACAAGGAGGGUUUGCUUGUGUCGUAUGGGUGCCCAUAAAGCAUUGAAAAUAUUAAGGAGCAAAGUGGAUUUGCAGGAUUUCUGUGGAUAUGUCACUAUGCUGUACCAUCUCAUCAACGCAAACAGAAAGUGUGGUGAUGCUUCUGAUGAAAAAGGAAAACCUGAUUUGACUUCCUGCUUUGAGCAGAUGAGAGGACAGAGUCAUUUGAAAUGGUCAUUGAGGAAGCAACCACAGAUUCAACAACAUAACAGAAAUCUUAGGUUGCUACAACAGAAACAGACUGGGUUCCUCUUGAGCUAUGCUUGUAAUUCCACUGUUUAGCUCUGAAUUCAAUGAGUUUGUAGGAAAACAGUCACACUACAAACCUUGCAGAAAAGAAAGCCUUCAAAAACUCUUACUUUCCAGUAGAAAACUAUAUAUGUUCUUAACUUUAUUCACUCAUUCUAGGAAGUUGCUUUAACACUAGAUAUUCACAUUCAGGCUGGUUUUUCCAGUUUUCUUUACCUAAAUCUUAAGUUCUACUUCUUGAAAAGAAUGUAAUGUGUAGAGAUGGCAUCUUAUCAGAAUGGAGAGAUGGUCACCUUCCUCACUUCUCUCUGCUAAUCUUCAUUGGUA